Molecule: ribosomal RNA, 900 nt
Filed under: uncultured bacterium
Lineage: Bacteria
Description: partial 16S ribosomal RNA
Rfam family: Bacterial small subunit ribosomal RNA
Source: RNAcentral
GGGGGGGGGGGGGGUGCCUACCAUGCAAGUCGAACGAAGCGCCCGCGCGGAUCCCCUCGGGAUGAAGCGCGGAUGCCUUAAUGGCGGACGGGUGAGUCACGCGUGGGCAACCUGCCCCGUGCCGGGGGACAACAGCCGGAAACGGCUGCUAAUACCGCAUGAUCCGGGAGGGCCGCAUGGCCCUGCCGGGAAAGCUCCGGCGGCACGGGAUGGGCCCGCGUCUGAUUAGUUUGUUGGCGGGGUAACGGCCCACCAAGACUGCGAUCAGCAGCCGGCCUGAGAGGGCGGCCGGCCACAUUGGGACUGAGACACGGCCCAGACUCCUGCGGGAGGCAGCAGUGGGGAAUAUUGCACAAUGGGGGAAACCCUGAUGCAGCGACGCCGCGUGGGCGACGAAGCGCUCCGGCGCGUAAAGCCCUGUCAGCAGGGAAGAACAAAGACAGUACCUGACCAAGAAGCCCCGGCUAACUACGUGCCAGCAGCCGCGGUAAUACGUAGGGGGCAAGCGUUAUCCGGAUUCACUGGGCGUAAAGGGAGCGCAGGCGGCACGGCAAGUCUGGUGUGAAAGCCCGGGGCCCAACCCCGGGACUGCAUUGGAAACUGCCGGGCUGGAGUGCCGGAGGGGUAAGCGGAAUUCCUGGUGUAGCGGUGAAAUGCGCACAUAUCAGGAAGAACACCGGUGGCGGAGGCGGCUUACUGGACGGCAACUGACGCUGAGGCUCGAAAGCGUGGGGAGCAAACAAGAUUAAAUACCCUGAUAGUCCACGCCGUACACGAUGAAUACCCAGUGUCGGCGGGCAAGGCCCGCCGGCGCCCCCGCUAACGCACUUACCUCAUCCCCCCUGGGGACGACGUUCGCCAACAAUGACACCCAUUAGAAUUGGAGGGGAACCCCCCCCA